This 253-nucleotide ribosomal RNA is filed under the name uncultured bacterium. RNAcentral's name for it is "partial 16S ribosomal RNA". It matches the Rfam family "Archaeal small subunit ribosomal RNA", at positions 474 to 727 of the family's 1478-position model. The record is from RNAcentral.
UACCAGCACCCCGAGUGGUCGGGACGAUUAUUGGGCCUAAAGCAUCCGUAGCCGGUCCUACAAGUCUUCCGUUAAAUCCACCUGCUUAACAGAUGGGCUGCGGAAGAUACUAUAAGACUAGGAGGCAGGAGAGGCAAGCGGUACUCAGUGGGUAGGGGUAAAAUCCGUUGAUCCAUUGAAGACCACCAGUGGCGAAGGCGGCUUGCCAGAAUGCGCUCGACGGUGAGGGAUGAAAGCUGGGGGAGCAAACCGG